CCUACGGGAUGCACCAGUGGGGAAUAUUGCACAAUGGGCGCAAGCCUGAUGCAGCCAUGCCGCGUGUGUGAAGAAGGCCUUCGGGUUGUAAAGCACUUUCAGCGGGGAGGAAGGCGAUAAGGUUAAUAACCUUGUCGAUUGACGUUACCCGCAGAAGAGGCACCGGCUAACUCCGUGCCAGCAGCCGCGGUAAUACGGAGGGUGCAAGCGUUAAUCGGAAUUACUGGGCGUAAAGCGCACGCAGGCGGUCUGUCAAGUCGGAUGUGAAAUCCCCGGGCUUAACCUGGGGACUGCAUUCGAAACUGGCAGGCUAGAGUCUUGUAGAGGGGGGUAGAAUUCCAGGUGUAGCGGUGAAAUGCGUAGAGAUCUGGAGGAAUACCGGUGGCGAAGGCGGCCCCCUGGACAAUGACUGACGCUCAGGUGCGAAAGCGUGGGGAGCAAACAGGAUUAGAUACCCCGGUAGUC
Molecule: ribosomal RNA, 465 nt
Filed under: uncultured bacterium
Lineage: Bacteria
Description: bacterial SSU rRNA
Rfam family: Bacterial small subunit ribosomal RNA
Source: RNAcentral